UUCUCUUAUAAUUUGACAAAAUAGAGGAACUAAUAAAUAGGAAUGGGUAUAAUCAUAUAAAAUCUCUUUCAAAAAACGAAAAAGAGAAAAGGGCAUGUGUGCCCAUAAUAUUUUGUCACGAAAACAAUGCAAAACUCAACCAGAAAUGAUCUAUUCAGGUCAAUUGUAUGAACCAAAAACCAGUCCCAUUAAAACUCUGAGUCAUGCAUUUUCCAUAGUUUUUCUGAGCUUUUUAAAUCCCAUUUCUUUUCUUUGCACCAACAAAACUAAACUGGAUAAUUUCAUGGUGGUUCUAAGCCUUCAACCUGUCCAAUUUACAACGCCUAAACACUUAUCAUCAUGUAAACCGAGUGUUUGUGGUUGUUCCGUCCGAUAUCGGAUUUCAGAGCCAUUAGGAGAGCCAGCUCCAAUGGGGAAAAAAACAAUGUACAAUGAUGGGUUUUUCGAGAGGGGAUUCAUGACUCUGUUUGCUCGAAAAAUGAUGAAGUCUGCAGCUCCGGUGAAUGCGAAAACUGAGACAAAGGAGAAGCCGUGGUGGGAUAUGACUAUGAGAGCUUUGUGGAUGUUUCGAAGAGAGUGAUGCAGGGAAGGUCUCGGAGUCAGCAACAGAAAGUGGUUCGAGAAGUGCUCUUGUCUAUGCUGCCUCCAGGUGCGCCAGAGCAGGUGGAUUAAUGCAAAGUUUUCAGUCCUCUAAUGUUGGUUUAUAUCUUAUUAAUUUGAAUAUUUAGUGAUUAAUGUACUGUUGGAUGAUCAUAUCCAUUCAUUAAUUUGAUCAUUUACCUUCAAAAACUUGAUAGUUGGGUAUAAAUUUGUAGUGUAAAGCGGGAGCCUUGUGCACUGGGUACGACCUUUUUAUACUCUAAGUCCAUAACAUAUCAACCAUGUUGUUCAGUCAUAGUAUGUAGCACCACGUGCCGAUCUCCAUGUGAAGGGAAUCGGGUUUGGUUUGUUUAGUUCAAUUUGUUGUCUACAUUAUUGAACAAGCAUAUAUGAUUAACCACUUUAGGCAGUGUGAUUAAGUGCUCAAAGUUCAUGUGUGAAUGCAGUUUAAUCUAAUCACAAUUGUUAUAAGAUCGUUUUCAGUAGGUAAUCAACUAUUAACCUAUUGUUCUUGCGGUUUAAGAAACUAUUUCAACCAACAAAGUGGGCAGCUGAGUUCAAUGCUGCAUUGACAGUUCCUUUCUUCCACUGGUUGGUUGGGCCUUCUGAGGUUGAAGAAGUUGAGAUAAAUGGGGUGAAGCAAAGCAGUGGAGUUCAUAUAAAGAAAUGCAGAUACCUGGAGAACAAUGGGUGUGUAGGAAUGUAUUGAAUAUCAGUCUUUAACCCUAAUACAGUUGGAAGAAUAACAACAGCUAAUACUAGCACUAAGUCUUUAUCUAGCUGUUGUUAUUCCCUCAUCAGUGUAAAGCUUGUUAGUGGCUGUAAAGCUAGCUUAGCUGCCAUUGUCCCCUAGCUGUAAAGCUAGCUUAGCUGCCAUUGUCCCCUACCUUUUGUUCUUCACUCUCUUCCCGUUUCUUCUUCUAUUUAUGUAUGAAUUUGUAACUGUUUGAUAUAUGAAAUAUAUAUUAAGUUUUUCUA
Malus domestica (apple) is the source of this 1578-nucleotide non-coding RNA. Lineage: Eukaryota; Viridiplantae; Streptophyta; Magnoliopsida; Rosales; Rosaceae. The record is from RefSeq and is a predicted model, not a curated record.